CAGUAGCCGCGGGAAUACAGAGGGUGCGAGCGUUAAUCGGAUUUACUGGGCGUAAAGCGUGCGUAGGCGGCUUUUUAAGUCGGAUGUGAAAUCCCUGAGCUUAACUUAGGAAUUGCAUUCGAUACUGGGAAGCUAGAGUAUGGGAGAGGAUGGUAGAAUUCCAGGUGUAGCGGUGAAAUGCGUAGAGAUCUGGAGGAAUACCGAUGGCGAAGGCAGUCAUCUGGCCUAAUACUGACGCUGAGGUACGAAAGCAUGGGGAGCAAACAGGAUUAGAUACCCCUGUAGUCCCUGUCUCUUAUAC
Molecule: ribosomal RNA, 301 nt
Filed under: uncultured bacterium
Lineage: Bacteria
Description: partial 16S ribosomal RNA
Rfam family: Bacterial small subunit ribosomal RNA
Source: RNAcentral